This 963-nucleotide long non-coding RNA is filed under the name Pan troglodytes (chimpanzee). RNAcentral describes it as "long non-coding RNA NONPTRT014636". Lineage: Eukaryota; Metazoa; Chordata; Mammalia; Primates; Hominidae. The record is from RNAcentral.
UUAGGAUAUUCUUUUAGAUAUCCUAAUAUCUAGAUGAGAGGCCUUCCUUCAUAAGAUCUGGUUGUUUGGGCUGUGGUUGGCAUAAGUGAUAUUUAUUUUGGCCUCUGUCACAUCCAGUUUCUUGAGCUUUUAAGGUAAGCUUCUUUUGGCUUUUUUUCAGAUGUUCACCAAGCUUAAGUUUAAAAUAAUAGGUAUUCUAAAAGAGUAUCCUAAUUUUCUUAUCUGUAUUCUUUUAGAAUACCCUAAUGUUUCAGACAGUGAUAUUCUCUUGUUAUUUCUAAGGCUAAAUUGGCAGAGUAUAUCAUCUAAAACCAAACACUGAAGAAGGUGAGAACCCACUCCCACCCAGCCAGCAUUUCCUGGAACAGACAAGCUGCUGCUUCCUUGCUGGCUCACUUAGUGCAUUCCUGGGAUGGUCUGGCACCCAGGCUUUUUAUUCUUUUUGAUCAUUGUUCUUACUGAGGUGCCUUCCUAGAACAAGAGCCACUUACAAAAUAGCUUAUAAUUAUUAUGUACCACACAACUACUAUUGUUUGAUGUAUGACUGCUGAGAGCUUGAAUACAUGCAGAGAGUGACUGAAGACUUAAUAGAGGAAUAAAUUCUGAGCCUGUCUAAGGUGGGGCUAAGGAACAGAUGAGUAAUAAGAGGCUCUUGGAUUUUUUUAACCAAUGCAACUGACCCUUUCAAUCAGUUUUCUUUGAAUUACAUCUACAAGUUUUGUUCCACUCAGCUACCAGUCAACUAGGCAUGCUCCACAGUAUCGCAGGAAGAAGGUCAGAAAUCUGGAACUGAAGCUAAAAGAAGUGAGGAUGUAGAAGCCACAUUCCUCUCCAAGGUAGUGUGUGAAAGAACCGCCCCCUCUUGACAGGAGGAUGACCAUCACCAUUCUUGCGUGGGACUGACUCACCCAGCUGAGAGGAGGACCAAUAGAAAGAAACGCCCCCUCUUGACAGGAGGAUGAC